GACGAACGCUGGCGGCGUGCUUAACACAUGCAAGUCGAACGGAAAGGCCCUGCUUUUGUGGGGUGCUCGAGUGGCGAACGGGUGAGUAACACGUGAGUAACCUGCCCUUGACUUUGGGAUAACUUCAGGAAACUGGGGCUAAUACCGGAUAGGAGCUCCUGCUGCAUGGUGGGGGUGGGAAAGUUUCGGCGGUUGGGGAUGGACUCGCGGCUUAUCAGCUUGUUGGUGGGGUAGUGGCUUACCAAGGCUUUGACGGGUAGCCGGCCUGAGAGGGUGACCGGCCACAUUGGGACUGAGAUACGGCCCAGACUCCUACGGGAGGCAGCAGUGGGGAAUAUUGCACAAUGGGCGGAAGCCUGAUGCAGCGACGCCGCGUGCGGGAUGACGGCCUUCGGGUUGUAAACCGCUUUCGCCUGGGACGAAGCGUGAGUGACGGUAAUGGGUAAAGAAGCACCGGCUAACUACGUG
This 468-nucleotide ribosomal RNA is filed under the name uncultured bacterium. RNAcentral's name for it is "partial 16S ribosomal RNA". It matches the Rfam family "Bacterial small subunit ribosomal RNA", at positions 28 to 507 of the family's 1533-position model. The record is from RNAcentral.